RNAcentral lists this long non-coding RNA (677 nucleotides) under Ananas comosus (pineapple). RNAcentral's name for it is "long non-coding RNA (ACOM_LNC037052)". The record is from RNAcentral. Lineage: Eukaryota; Viridiplantae; Streptophyta; Magnoliopsida; Poales; Bromeliaceae.
CCAGAGAGACCUCCAGCCCAGACUUAGCCAAUUUUCAGCUUCGUCCGUUUUCGCUCCGUUUUCGCUCGUUUUCGUUCGUUUGACCUCCAAUUCAUUUCAAAUCGAACCGAGACUCUCCAAACAUGUUUUCAAACAUGUUUUCAUCAUCUUUCCAUCCUCCCUAAUGCCGGAUUUAGCUCACGGCCCAACUUAGCCUUUCGGGUUCCGUUUCCGCGCCUACGCGCGCCGAAACGCCCGAUUGCUCCCGAAGUUCACCGAACUUCACCGGAACCAUUCAAAUAGCUCUCCAAUCGAAUGUACACCGUAACUUAAUAGUUUUAGAAGUUCGGUACCUUACAAUUCUGAUCUUAAAAAAAAUAAAUUACAACCAUUAGGAAAUAUUCAGAAAGUUAAUUCUAUAGUUGCAUGAGAAAUAACAAUAACCAUAUAAUGGCAUUUAUCAUAAAUGAAUUCUUCUUGCUAUUGAAGUAAAGGAAAAGUAUGACGCUAGCUAAUAUGUCAUGAUUCUACUAGGAAACUUGCAAACGUAACUUGUUCACUCUGUGAAGUGUCCCGAGGGUUUGGUAUCGGAUUGGUUUCAGUUUUAGUGACCGGUCGACAUAUCUGGAGAGUGUCGGACUAAGUCGGAGUCGUUUCUGUACGAAAUGGAUGCAGAAAUAGACUUGGCAUACUCAAAU